This is a small nuclear RNA of Leptonychotes weddellii (Weddell seal), 103 nucleotides long. The record is from RefSeq and is a predicted model, not a curated record. NCBI's taxonomy places the organism in Eukaryota, Metazoa, Chordata, Mammalia, Carnivora, Phocidae.
UUGCUUUGGCAGCACAUAUACUAAAAUUGGAAUGAUACAGAGAAAAUUAGCAUGGCCCCUGGGCAAGAAUGACAGUCAAAUUAGUUUUCCCAGCACCAUUUGU